UACAGAGGUCUCAAGCGUUGUUCGGAUUCAUUGGGCGUAAAGGGUGCGUAGGCGGCGCGGCAAGUCGGGCGUGAAAUCUCGGAGCUUAACUCCGAAACUGCAUUCGAUACUGCCGUGCUUGAGGACUGGAGAGGAGACUGGAAUUUACGGUGUAGCGGUGAAAUGCGUAGAUAUCGUAAGGAAGACCGGUGGCGAAGGCGGGUCUCUGGACAGUUCCUGACGCUGAGGCACGAAGGCCAGGGGAGCAAACGGG
Molecule: ribosomal RNA, 253 nt
Filed under: uncultured bacterium
Lineage: Bacteria
Description: partial 16S ribosomal RNA
Rfam family: Bacterial small subunit ribosomal RNA
Source: RNAcentral